This 439-nucleotide ribosomal RNA is filed under the name uncultured bacterium. Its description in RNAcentral is "partial 16S ribosomal RNA". It matches the Rfam family "Bacterial small subunit ribosomal RNA", at positions 339 to 795 of the family's 1533-position model. The record is from RNAcentral.
CUACGGGGUGCUGCAGUGGGGAAUAUUGGACAAUGGGCGCAAGUCUGAUCCAGCAAUGCCGCGUGAGUGAAGACGGCCUUAGGGUUGUAAAACUCUUUCGCUAGGGAAGAUAAUGACUGUACCUAGUAAAGAAGUCCCGGCUAACUCCGUGCCAGCAGCCGCGGUAAUACGGAGGGGACUAGCGUUGUUCGGAAUUACUGGGCGUAAAGAGGUCGUAGGCGGACUGACAAGUUAGAGGUGAAAUCCCAGGGCUCAACCCUGGAACUGCCUUUAAAACUGUCAGUCUAGAGACCGGAAGAGGUUAGGGGAAUACCUAGUGUAGAGGUGAAAUUCGUAGAUAUUAGGUGGAACACCAGUGGCGAAGGCGCCUAACUGGUCCGGUACUGACGCUGAGGAACGAAAGCGUGGGGAGCAAACAGGAUUAGAUACCCCUGUAGUC